RNAcentral lists this ribosomal RNA (384 nucleotides) under Triticum aestivum (bread wheat). RNAcentral describes it as "partial small subunit ribosomal RNA". Lineage: Eukaryota; Viridiplantae; Streptophyta; Magnoliopsida; Poales; Poaceae. The record is from RNAcentral.
AUGGAUAGUGAUGCCCCAUGUCUUAUCUCGUUGGAACUAGGAGAUUCUCAGGGCUUGACUCCUUCCCUUGAGGAGAUGCCAUUACUGGGAAAAGCAUCCAUUUUGCUUGGCCGUGCGUACUGUGGUGUCUGUGAAACUGACGAGGACGAUUUUCUUACAUGUGGAUGUGCCAGCGAGAAGUGUCUGCUUCUCAACGGAUUGUCCAAUGCUGUUGAGUUGAAAUUGAUUGCUAUGCCUGAAUUGGUAUGCUCUGCACUAUCUUUCUUACUCUUACUGUUACUUUGCCAGUUGCCACCCAUAGUUUCUGUUGUAGCUGUAGUAUUUAUAUCCAUUGUUAGAGCCGCAUAUAGUCUAGUUACUUAUUUUCACACCACAGCUUCCUAA